CGCCCGCGGGGCUGCAGCUCCCGGCUCGCACUCCAUCAUCGACGGAUGACAGCAGGAACGGUGGGAGUUCAUUACAGGGACCAUGAAUUGUUGGAGAGGAAUCCGAAGAAACAUGCUGGAUGUCCCCGGAGGAGAAGCUGAACCCAUGUGAGGGGGGCUUCACUGACUCUCCCCAUACACAGGGCACCGGGGAGAGCAGCCACAUGACUGCGGGCUGGGGCUUUUGCCCCUGAUGGGAGGCGAUGAGGAGGGCACCGGUCUGGCCCUGAGACAACCCCCAGACCAGCCCCGACUGGGACACUCUGCAGGAUGUCAAGCAGCGCCCCCCAAAGCUGUCAAGGCCAUCCUAGACCAGCGGGGCCUCAGGAGAUGGUGCAGAGUCCCGGACCAGACAAAGGGCACUGGGAAAGCAGGAGCCCGAAGGAAGGCUGGAAUUCAGGGAAGAGCCACGUGCCAGGCUGUGACGAAGGUGACAAGAUGAAACACUGACGGGGGCGGAGGAGGCAUCCGAACUCUACGCGCUACCUUUGCACUACUCUGUAAAUCUAAAAUUAUUCAGAAGUGAAAGUUAAAAAUCA
Long non-coding RNA from Mandrillus leucophaeus (drill), 578 nucleotides. RefSeq lists it as uncharacterized. NCBI's taxonomy places the organism in Eukaryota, Metazoa, Chordata, Mammalia, Primates, Cercopithecidae. The record is from RefSeq and is a predicted model, not a curated record. The transcript is spliced from 2 exons.